CAGAAAUUGUGAGCAAUGGAUUUGCAGAAAUGAGAUGAUGUCUUGUGAGUCAAAGAGGACCAGGCUUGAAGACAAAUGGCCCUGAUUCCUGGCUAGUGAAUGCUGCAUCUGCCAGCCCAUGAAGACUUGGAGUUUUGCUCACUCGCUGAGGCUCACAGUGAGCCAUCAUGACUGCCCUCAAGGAGUUCCCUUAGAUCCCAAGACCUCUUGGCUUUCCAGCUCAGCUCCGUAUGUUCACACGCCUUUCAGAUUGAUCCAUCCUGGUACAAGUUUCCACGUCUGUUUCAACCAUCUGUGGC
Molecule: long non-coding RNA, 299 nt
Organism: Suricata suricatta (meerkat)
Lineage: Eukaryota; Metazoa; Chordata; Mammalia; Carnivora; Herpestidae
Exons: 3
Source: RefSeq, a predicted model, not a curated record